RNAcentral lists this ribosomal RNA (467 nucleotides) under uncultured bacterium. RNAcentral's name for it is "partial 16S ribosomal RNA". It matches the Rfam family "Bacterial small subunit ribosomal RNA", at positions 28 to 506 of the family's 1533-position model. The record is from RNAcentral.
GACGAACGCUGGCGGCGUGCUUAACACAUGCAAGUCGAACGGAAAGGCCCUGCUUUUGUGGGGUUCUCGAGUGGCGAACGGGUGAGUAACACGUGAGUAUCCUGCCCUUGACUUUGGGAUAACUUCAGGAAACUGGUGCUACUACCGGCUAGGAGCUCCUGCUGCAUGGUGGGGGUUGGACAGUUUCGGCGGUUGGGGAUGUACUCGCGGCUUAUCAGCUUGUUGGUGGGGUAGUGGCUUACCAAGGCUUUGACGGGUAGCCGGCCUGGGAGGGUGACCGGCCACAUUGGGACAGGGGUGCGGCCCGGAGUCCUACGGGAGGCAGGAGUGGGGAAUAGUGCACAAUGGGCCGAGGGCGGAGGCAGCAACGCCGGGUGGGGGAUGACGGCCUUCGGGUAGGAAGCGGCUUUCGCCUGUGACGAAGCGUGAGGGACGGUAAUGGGUAAAGAAACACCGGCGAACUACGG